This is a long non-coding RNA of Pristis pectinata (smalltooth sawfish), 445 nucleotides long. RefSeq lists it as uncharacterized. The transcript has 3 exons. NCBI's taxonomy places the organism in Eukaryota, Metazoa, Chordata, Chondrichthyes, Rhinopristiformes, Pristidae. The record is from RefSeq and is a predicted model, not a curated record.
AGGAGUUUGCAUACAUGCCUGUAAUCCACUUUGGAAUUCUAAGAACAUUCAUCACAACUAAAAAAUAGGUGACAGUGAAUUUGAUUUACUACCUUACUACCUUCUGACUGGAGUACGCUGCCAACUAAAGCAGGCUGAUACUGCCAAGAUCUCAGCUGUAACAGUCACUGAUGGUGUUUCAGAGAACCAGUAGCAGAAUAAGAAAUGGGGCAACUGAAGAAAUGAUUGACAGCAACUCACCUUGAAGAAGUAUAGAUCGACCACUACCACUGUUUGAGUGCUCAGAUUGGCAGCAUUGUACCAACAUCUUCAUCAUCUCUGUGUGGCGGGAGUGCUGCUCUUGGCAAAAUGGCUGACACCACAACGUUUUAUCAAAAAAACAGAAGAAAUGGGUGUCAACUUGGCAAGACAGACACAAAGAAAACUUUGCAGAGAGAAAGCAAUU